This 493-nucleotide ribosomal RNA is filed under the name uncultured bacterium. RNAcentral's name for it is "bacterial SSU rRNA". It matches the Rfam family "Bacterial small subunit ribosomal RNA", at positions 335 to 823 of the family's 1533-position model. The record is from RNAcentral.
ACUCCUACGGGAGGCAGCAGUGGGGAAUAUUGCACAAUGGGCGCAAGCCUGAUGCAGCCAUGCCGCGUGUAUGAAGAAGGCCUUCGGGUUGUAAAGUACUUUCAGCAGUGAGGAAGGCGGAGUCGUUAAUAGCGGCCUCGUUUGACGUUAGCUGCAGAAGAAGCACCGGCUAACUCCGUGCCAGCAGCCGCGGUAAUACGGAGGGUGCGAGCGUUAAUCGGAAUUACUGGGCGUAAAGCGCAUGCAGGUGGUUUGUUAAGUCAGAUGUGAAAGCCCGGGGCUCAACCUCGGAAUUGCAUUUGAAACUGGCAGACUAGAGUACUGUAGAGGGGGGUAGAAUUUCAGGUGUAGCGGUGAAAUGCGUAGAGAUCUGAAGGAAUACCGGUGGCGAAGGCGCCCCCCUGGACAGAUACUGACACUCAGAUGCGAAAGCGUGGGGAGCAAACAGGUUUAGAUACCCUGGUAACACAGAGCAGUCGUGGGAACAAGGCAC